ACAGAUGGCUGAGUUGGUUUAAGGCACCUGACUGCUAAUUAGGUUUACAUGCGAAUACAUGUAACGUGGGGUCGUAGCCCACUCUGUACG
Molecule: transfer RNA, 90 nt
Filed under: Bacteriophage sp.
Description: tRNA-Ser
Rfam family: tRNA
About the family: Transfer RNA (tRNA) molecules are approximately 80 nucleotides in length. Their secondary structure includes four short double-helical elements and three loops (D, anti-codon, and T loops).
Source: RNAcentral